AUGAGGGAUGGGAGAUCACCCAUUCACCCUGCUCGCCGAAAUCCCCUCAGUCACGAUCGACCGGAUCUUCCCGCCAACUUUUCUUCUUGUCCCAAAUUGACAAUCUCACUUUUUGACAUCGUAGCAAUCCCAAGCGCGGUUGAAGUAGAGUUCGAUGUUGGAGAUGAUGUAGAAGAAGCUGGUCAAAGGGAAGAAGCUGGUCAGGACAUUUCGAGAGAAGCUUCUCUCCCUCAUAAUUUGAGGAGGGAGAUUUAUGAUUCUGCCAACAUUCAGAUGGAAUCGAUUCUUCAACACUGUUUUGUGAUGAACCCUAAAGAAUAUGCCAAUGCCAAUGAAGGGGAUGACGUCUUUUUAUGCAAAUAUGAAUAUGAUAUUCACUGGUACAGUUUCAAGCGUUUUGCAGAAAUUGAUGAUGAUGAUGAUGAAGAGAGUGAUUAUGAUUGGAAACGUAGCAAAGACUCAGACUCCGAUACAGAAGAAUAAGUUGAGUUUGAAGAAGAGAGCACAAAGAAUAUACUGGCUAAACCAUCUCGAGCUCAUGAGUUGGCUGCAAAUUCACAUAAGGGGCGUUUUAUGGACUUCAAAAAAUUGGAAUGAAGCAAAUCCCUAAGCAUGUUAGAUGCCAUAAGCAGACUGCUCUUGAAAGAGCAAAAUCAACACUUCUGUUGGCAUCAUUGCCCAAGUCUUUACCUUGCAGGGAUAAAUAAAUGUUGGAGAUAAGUGCAUUCAUCAAGGGUGCCAUCUCUGAUGAUAAAUGCGUUGGACGUUGCCUCUAUAUACAUGGUGUUCCUGGAACUGGAAAGACUAUGAGUGUACUAGCAGUAAUGAGGAAUUUAAGGACUGAAGUUGAUGCUGGAAGUAUGAUGCUUAUAAGACCUUACUGUUUCGUUGAGAUAAAUGGUCUAAAAUUGGCAUCACCUGAGAAUAUCUACAGGGUUAGAUAUGAAGCAUUAAGUGGGCAUCUAGUUGGUUGGAAAAAGGCUCCCCACUUGCUAAAUGAGUGAUUUUCCAAUGGAAAGAAGUUUGGCAAAGAGGAUGACAAACCUUGUGCACUUCUUAUUGAUGAACUUGUUCUUCUUGUGACCAGAAACCAAUCGGUUCUCUACAAUAUUCUUGACUGGCCUACUAAGCCAAACUCAAAGUUAGUUGUAAUAGGCAUAGCAAAUUCCAUGGAUCUUCCAGAAAAGAUGCUUCCUUGUAUUUCAAGUCGAAUGGGAAUCCAAAGGCUUUGCUUUGGCCCCUAUAAUUAUAGGCAGCUUCAAGAGAUCAUUUCGAGUCGGCUUAGAGGAAUUGAUGCAUUUGAAAAACAAGAUAUAGAGUUCGCUUCAAGAAAGGUUGCAUUUAUUUCUGGAGAUGCUUGUCGUGCAUUGGAGAUAUGCAGUUGUGCCGCUGAAAUCAAGAUUACCGCACAAAGAAGCUAAUCUCAACUCAGAACUUUGCAGGGAAAGCACUUGUUGGUAUGGCAGAGGUUGAAGCAGCCAUACAAGAGAUGUUCCAGGUACCUCAUAUCCAGGUGAUGAAAACUUGUUCCAAACUGAGUAAAAUCUAUUUGACGGCUAUGGUAUAUGAACUCUAUAAAACAGGAAUGGGUGAAAUUACUUUCGAGAAGUUGGAAAUGACAGUAUAUAAUCUGUGUACAAGCAAUGGAGAAGCAUUUCCUGGACAUGAUACGCUGUUGAAAGUUGGCUGUAAGCUUGGUGAAUGCAGAUUUAUUCUAUGUGAAUCAGGAGUAAAGCACAGGUUACAGAAAUUACAGCUCAACUUUCCAAGGUUUGUUCUGAUUAGACUAGUCACCGCAGGCCAUCCUUAUUUUAGUAGUUGUAUAGCAGUAGUCAAGUAUUAUGUCAUAAAGAGCCUCUUGCAGGGUUUGGGAAUGGGCUCAGGUCCUUGGGCCUAGACCCAAACCCGAACCCCAAAAAAGUCAAGUUUGGAAUUGGGUUGUUGGGCCUGA
Fragaria vesca subsp. vesca is the source of this 1951-nucleotide RNA transcript. It is a transcript of the gene named origin recognition complex subunit 1-like, with no coding region annotated. The record is from RefSeq and is a predicted model, not a curated record. The transcript is spliced from 16 exons. Lineage: Eukaryota; Viridiplantae; Streptophyta; Magnoliopsida; Rosales; Rosaceae.